AGCACUUACUUCAGUGAUAUAAACUAAAAUCGGAAAUGAUACAGACAAGAUUAGCAUGUGUGAGGAUGACACACAAACUUGCGAAGCAUUUCUUUUUGUU
Molecule: small nuclear RNA, 100 nt
Filed under: Sciurus vulgaris (Eurasian red squirrel)
Lineage: Eukaryota; Metazoa; Chordata; Mammalia; Rodentia; Sciuridae
Source: RNAcentral